GCCAUCUUAGCUCAGUUGGUAGAGCGUUUGAUUCGUAAUCAAAAGGUCGUGGGUUCGACUCCCAUAGAUGGCU
Molecule: transfer RNA, 73 nt
Filed under: Puia sp.
Lineage: Bacteria; Pseudomonadati; Bacteroidota; Chitinophagia; Chitinophagales; Chitinophagaceae
Also listed under: 1 other name
Description: tRNA-Thr
Rfam family: tRNA
About the family: Transfer RNA (tRNA) molecules are approximately 80 nucleotides in length. Their secondary structure includes four short double-helical elements and three loops (D, anti-codon, and T loops).
Source: RNAcentral